AACGAACGCUGGCGGCGCGUUUUAAGCAUGCAAGUCGAACGGCAGUGCGGGUAGCAAUACCUGCAUGAGAGUGGCGAACGGGUGAGUAACACGUAGGUGAUCUGCCUCUGGGUGGGGGAUAGCCCGUGGAAACACGGGGUAAUACCGCAUGAGGCCUUGUGGGUAAAGCCAUGAGGUGAAAGGUGCAAUUGCACCGCCUGGGGAUGAGCCUGCGGUCCAUUAGGUAGUUGGCGGGGUAAAGGCCCACCAAGCCGACGAUGGAUAGCCGGCCUGAGAGGGUGGACGGCCACACUGGAACUGAGACACGGUCCAGACUCCUACGGGUGGCUG
This 330-nucleotide ribosomal RNA is filed under the name uncultured Spirochaetota bacterium. RNAcentral's name for it is "bacterial SSU rRNA". It matches the Rfam family "Bacterial small subunit ribosomal RNA", at positions 29 to 351 of the family's 1533-position model. The record is from RNAcentral. Lineage: Bacteria; Pseudomonadati; Spirochaetota.